Molecule: ribosomal RNA, 374 nt
Filed under: uncultured organism
Description: partial 16S ribosomal RNA
Rfam family: Bacterial small subunit ribosomal RNA
Source: RNAcentral
GUAGGUGGCAAGCGUUGUCCGGAAUUAUUGGGCGUAAAGCGCGCGCAGGCGGUCCUUUAAGUCUGAUGUGAAAGCCCACGGCUCAACCGUGGAGGGUCAUUGGAAACUGGGGGACUUGAGUACAGAAGAGGAAAGCGGAAUUCCAAGUGUAGCGGUGAAAUGCGUAGAGAUUUGGAGGAACACCAGUGGCGAAGGCGGCUUUCUGGUCUGUAACUGACGCUGAGGCGCGAAAGCGUGGGGAGCAAACAGGGAUUAGAUACCCUGGUAGUCCACGCCGUAAACGAUGAGUGCUAAGUGUUAGGGGGUUUCCCGCCCCCUUAGUGCUGCAGCUAACGCAUUAAGCACUCCGCCUGGGGGAUACGGCCGCAAGGCUG